This 2175-nucleotide long non-coding RNA is filed under the name Coturnix japonica (Japanese quail). Its description in RNAcentral is "lncRNA (ENSCJPG00005006667.1)". The record is from RNAcentral. Lineage: Eukaryota; Metazoa; Chordata; Aves; Galliformes; Phasianidae.
UUGUAUGUUGGGGGUGGAGUUUUGGGGUCCCCUAUUGAUAUGUUGGGGCGGAUUUUGGCGCGGGUCCCCAUUUAUAGUUGGGGUGGAAUAUUGGCGGUCCCCAUUUAUAUUGGGCGUGGAUUUUGGGAGUCCCCAUUAUAUUAUUGGGCAGGAUUUUGGGGCGUCCCAGUUAUAUUGGGGCGGGUUUGGGGGUCCCCAUUUCAUAUUUAUCCCGGGGGCGGAUUUUGGGGUCCCCAUUUAUAUUGGUGUGGAGUUUGAGGGUCCCCAUUUAUAUUGAGGGGGUUUUGGGUGGUGGCGCCGCAUUUGAUGGAUUGUGGGGGUGGGAGUUGUUGGUCCCGUAUUGUUAGUUGUUGGCAGAUUUUGGGGGUCCCCAUAUAUUGGGUGGAUUUUGGGGGGUCCGCAUUUAUAUUGUGCAGAUUUGGGGUGGCGCCGCAUGUUAGUGGAUUGGGCGGAUGAUGGGCGUGCCCCGAUUAUGAUUGGGGUGGAUUUGUGGGGGUCGGGCCCAUUUAUAUUUGGGUGGAUUUUGGUUGGUUCGCCCGAAUUGUAGAUGUGGGGAUUUUUGGGGGGUCAACCUAUUUAUAUUUGGGGCGGAUUUUGGGGGUCCCUAUUUAUAUUGGGGUGGAUUUGGGGGUCCCCAUUUAUAUUGGGGUGGAUUUUGGGGGUCCCCAUUUAUAUUGGGGCGGAUUUUGGGGGUCCCCAUUUAUAUUUGGGGUGGAUUUUGUGGGGUCCCCGAUUUAUAUUGGAGAUGGAUGUUGGGGGUGAGUCCACAUAUCUCUCUCUUCCCAGCCCCCAAAUCCCCCCGGGACCCCCCAGUUUCCCCCUUUACCCCUCGGGGUCCCUCCCUUAAAGGGGCCGCGCCCCCAUUGUGGGAUGUGGGGAAGCCCUUAAAGGGGCCGCUCCCCCCGGUGGCUCCAUUGAUGUCACGCGGGGGCGGCCCACCCGUGACGUCACCCGGGGGAACCCGGGCUGUCCCCGCACCCCAUAACCCCGCCCCAAUGUCACCCCAUAACCCCGCCCCAAUGUCACCCUAUAACGGCCCCCGGGGCCGCACCGGCCCCAUUUGCAGCCCGACACGGAGACAUGCGGCCCCACAGAGGUGGGCGUUUGCCGCCCCCCCCCACCGUGAAGGAGCUGCUGGAAACGAUGAGGGGGGGGCGGCGGGACGGGCACGGUGAGUGGGACCCACAUAUAGAUCCUAUAGAUCCCUAUAGAACCAUAUAGAUCCUAUGGACCCAUAUAGGUCCUAUAGACCCUAUGGGCCCUAUAGAACCAUAUAGAUCUUAUAGACCCUAUGGACCCUAUAGAUCCUAUGGAUCCUAUAGAUCCUUAUAGACCGUAUGGAUCCUAUAGAUCCUAAUAGACCCUUUGGACCCUAUAGAUCCUAUAGAUCCUAUAGACCGUAUGGAUCCUAUAGAUCCUAUAGACCCUGUGGACCCUAUAGACCCUAUGGACCCUAUGGACCCUAUGGAUCCUAUAGACCCAUAUAGACCCUAUGGACCCUAUAGAUACUAUGGACCCUAUAGAUCCUAUAGAUCCUUAUAGACCCUAUGGACCCUAUAGAUCCUAUAGACCUCUAUAGACCCUUAUAGACCCUAUAGAUCCUAUGGACCCUAUAGAUCCUAUAGACCCUAUAGACCCUAUGGACCCUAUGGACCCUAUAGAUCCUAUGGACCCUAUAGAUCCUAUGUACCCUAUGGAUCCUAUGGACCCCUAUAGACCCUAUAGAUCCUUAUAGACCCUAUAGACCCUAUAGAUCCUAUGGACCCUAUAGACCCUAUAGAUCCUGUAGAUCCUAUGGACCCAUAUAGACCCUAUGGACCCUAUAGACCCUAUGGACCUUAUAGACCCUAUGGACCCUAUAUAGAUCCUAUGGACCCUAUAGACCCCUAUAGAUCCUUAUAGACCCUAUAGACCCCUAUAGAUCCUAUAGAUCCUAUAGAACCAUAUAGAUCCUAUGGACCCUAUGGACCCUAUAGUUCCUAUAGACCCCUAUAGACCCUUAUAGACCCUAUAGAUCCUAUGGACCCUAUAGACCCAUAUAGAUCCUAUGGACCCAUAUAGACCCUAUGGACCCUAUAGACCCUAUAGAUUCUAUGGACCCUAUAGACCCUAUAGAUCCUUAUAGACCCUAUGGACCCUAUAGAUCCUUAUAGACCCUAUGGACCCUAUAGAUCC